CUACGAUAAUAGCAAACUAUUUGAAAAUUUAGGACGCAAAGCCACGGGUCUAAGGUCUAAGGACUAGGAUAGCCGGGUUACCGAA
RNAcentral lists this non-coding RNA (85 nucleotides) under Oceanobacillus limi. Its description in RNAcentral is "Ornithinibacillus sp. H9B(2010) c-di-GMP-I riboswitch aptamer". It matches the Rfam family "c-di-GMP-I riboswitch aptamer". Rfam says of the family: GEMM was predicted in a large-scale screen for bacterial structured RNA regulatory elements. Genes associated with GEMM are involved in a diverse array of functions, including chemotaxis regulation, signal transduction, secretion and chitin. The record is from Rfam by way of RNAcentral. Lineage: Bacteria; Bacillati; Bacillota; Bacilli; Caryophanales; Bacillaceae.